CUUCGGAGUUUUAGAGCUUCAGAGCUUCAAGAAUUUUGCCUAAUGAUUUUGGUUCCUCCCCAAAAUGAAUGAAAUUGGCUUGUAUUUAUAUAAUUUUCCAAGGCCUAAUUUUGAAUAUAAUAUCCCAGAUGAAAUAAGUCGUUUCUGCCAGGUGUUGACACGUAUCCUGUUUGAUGACUUUUCCAACUCAUUUCAAUUUUUCGUCGAGUCACACGCUACGUGUAAAAUUUAUGUAAUACAUGAGCAUUGAAAUUUUGAUUUAUCGAUCAACAUUUAUUUACCGAAAUUUCGAUGUCUACAGUUUUAUUGGUACUUUACUAGCUCUGGAACUAUAUUUGUGAAAGGGUCGGAUUCGAUCGGGUCAUCCUUGAUCUAAAUCUGAAUUCAUUUAUAAUCAGUUUAACAGAUUCAGUACCUAUUCAGAUCAUUGAAUCCAGCUUGUCGAAAUACCAUUAGAAAUCUCAUUUUUUAUUAUAUUUUUCAAUUUUAAAUUAAAAGUUUCACAUGUUAAGUAAUAAGAAAAUAAACUUAAAUUACCAUUAAACAAAAGUAUAAAUAAUAUUUUUUUAUUAAAUCGGAUUAGAUUAUUAUCUGAACGAAUUAGCCUCAAUCCAUAUUCGGAUCUAUUUACAAUUGAUUAUCGAAUUCGGAUCCUUUUUGGAAAAUUGGAUUAGAAGUUACGAUCCAUAUCCUAUUAAUUUGGAUUAGAUCCAGGUCAAAAUAUGAUCCAUUAACAAGUCUUUUUCCAUGUAAAAUCAUUAUACAUUGUAUCGUAGAUGAUUAGUACAAGGAGUAUCAGAUUCCUCGUGCAGUCGUACUACAUGCAAAUUGAUCACAAGUCAGCAAGGUCAUGCUCAUUCAAGGAGAGGUUUUUGUGUGAGGCACCAAAUGUGGUGGGUCAUGAGUAUGGUAUGAGAGGGAGUGGGACACAAAAUAGGAUCAAGUGAACCUAGCAAAAUCAGUGAGGGUAGGGUAGAGGGUGGUUUUUGUCUCUGGACACGUAGGGAUACAUGAUCCAGUCAGAAUACCGAAGAAUUUAUCCCAUUCAUAUCAAAUUCCUCAACAACCUCAAUAAGAGGGAUGUUAGCGACGUGCGGGUUCGUGCGGGGUAAAUGGUGUUGCUUGUUAGGGUUUUUGCUUUGUGCUUUUUUGUUUUGAGCUCCAAACCUUGUGUUAGGUUGUUUGUUUGUGCUACUUUGGAGAUCCAUAGUUUUGUUCUGUGUUUCAAUUUUCACCUGUAAUUAGGGCUCUGUUUAUGUACACUUUUUGUGCUAGCAAUAAAUUUCAGAGUAAUCCCCAAUUUAACUAUCCUUAAGUUUUGUCAAAAUUGCACUUUAUUUACAUUUUCUUUUUUUCGUCUCACUUUCAUACCUAGAGUUUAAUUUUCUUGCCACUUUCAUACUUCUGUUAGGUCAUCUCUAAUGGAUCAGACCAUGUUUUGGCCCGAAAUGAGACAAAAUCCAACUCCAAUGGAGGGAUGGGCCAAAAAAAAGGGACCCACUAGGCCAUUUCUCAGCCUUUUGGCCAUUAGGCUAGGCAA
This 1540-nucleotide long non-coding RNA is filed under the name Malus domestica (apple). Its description in RNAcentral is "long non-coding RNA (MDOM_LNC010624)". Lineage: Eukaryota; Viridiplantae; Streptophyta; Magnoliopsida; Rosales; Rosaceae. The record is from RNAcentral.